This 391-nucleotide ribosomal RNA is filed under the name Isabellaria saxicola. RNAcentral describes it as "partial 16S ribosomal RNA". The record is from RNAcentral. Lineage: Eukaryota; Metazoa; Mollusca; Gastropoda; Stylommatophora; Clausiliidae.
UUAUCUGCCCAGUGAAUUUUUAACGGCCGCAGUACCCUGACUGUGCAAAGGUAGCAUAAUCAUUUGACUUUUAAUUGGAGUCUGGAAUGAAAGAAAGCACGUAGAUUUCUUGUCUCGCGAAUUAAUAUUUAUAAAUUUUUAAGGAAGUGAAAAUACUUCUAAUUAAAAUAAAAGACGAGAAGACCCUUAGAAUUUUGAUUACUCAGACUUAUGUUAGUUUGAUAAUUUUUGUUGGGGCAACAAUAUUUCAUAUAUAAUAAAUAUUAACCUUAAUAAUAUACGACGAUUUAAUAAUAAAAAAAAAAUUACCUAAGGGAUAACAGCAUAAUUUAUAAUAAUAAGUUUGUGACCUCGAUGUUGGACUAGGUACUAUUAAAGCUAACCGUUUUAA